GCGCCCGUAGCUCAGGGGACAGAGCGUCGGACUUCUAAUCCGAUGGUCGGGGGUUCGAAUCCUCCCGGGCGCG
RNAcentral lists this transfer RNA (73 nucleotides) under Acidimicrobiia bacterium. Its description in RNAcentral is "tRNA-Arg". It matches the Rfam family "tRNA". Rfam says of the family: Transfer RNA (tRNA) molecules are approximately 80 nucleotides in length. The record is from RNAcentral. Lineage: Bacteria; Bacillati; Actinomycetota; Acidimicrobiia.